GGGCCCGCACAAGCGGUGGAGCAUGUGGUUUAAUUCGAUGAUACGCGAGGAACCUUACCAGGGCUUAAAUGUAAGUUGCAUAGAUCAGAGAUGGUCUUUUCUUCGGACUACUUACAAGGUGCUGCAUGGUUGUCGUCAGCUCGUGCCGUGAGGUGUCAGGUUAAGUCCUAUAACGAGCGCAACCCCUGUCGUUAGUUACCAGCAAGUAAUGUUGGGUACUCUAGCGAGACUGCCGGUGUCAAACCGGAGGAAGGUGGGGAUGACGUCAAGUCCUCAUGGCCUUUAUGCCCUGGGCUGCACACGUGCUACAAUGGUAGGUACAGAACGAUGCAAGACCGCGAGGUGGAGCAAAUCGCUAAAACCUGCCCCAGUUCGGAUUGCAGGCUGCAACUCGCCUGCAUGAAGUCGGAAUCGCUAGUAAUCG
This 424-nucleotide ribosomal RNA is filed under the name uncultured bacterium. RNAcentral's name for it is "bacterial SSU rRNA". It matches the Rfam family "Bacterial small subunit ribosomal RNA", at positions 917 to 1344 of the family's 1533-position model. The record is from RNAcentral.